This 77-nucleotide transfer RNA is filed under the name bacterium. Its description in RNAcentral is "tRNA-Arg". It matches the Rfam family "tRNA". Rfam says of the family: Transfer RNA (tRNA) molecules are approximately 80 nucleotides in length. Their secondary structure includes four short double-helical elements and three loops (D, anti-codon, and T loops). Further hydrogen bonds mediate the characteristic L-shaped molecular structure. tRNAs have two regions of fundamental functional importance: the anti-codon, which is responsible for specific mRNA codon recognition, and the 3' end, to which the tRNAs corresponding amino acid is attached (by aminoacyl-tRNA synthetases). tRNAs cope with the degeneracy of the genetic code in two manners: having more than one tRNA (with a specific anti-codon) for a particular amino acid; and 'wobble' base-pairing, i.e. permitting non-standard base-pairing at the 3rd anti-codon position. RNAcentral also lists the same sequence under 1 other name. The record is from RNAcentral.
GCGCCUGUAGCUCAAUUGGAUAGAGCAUCAGCCUACGGAGCUGAGGGUUGUGGGUUCAAAUCCCUCCAGGCGUACAA